RNAcentral lists this long non-coding RNA (932 nucleotides) under Rattus norvegicus (Norway rat). Its description in RNAcentral is "long non-coding RNA NONRATT016448". The record is from RNAcentral. Lineage: Eukaryota; Metazoa; Chordata; Mammalia; Rodentia; Muridae.
GACCCUGUCUAUAGCCGCCGCCCUGGAAUCAGCACUCUCAGAAAGGUCGAUGACUAGGCCAAAGGAUCUUGGCCAGAGGGAAAAUGCAGUGCAGGGAAAUCAAGCAGCAGAUUCCAGGAUCCAAGAUGUUUCUGCCAGCAUCCUGAUGCUGCUUCCAGACUGACAAGGUCAGAACCCUGCUAAAGGACCAGGACUUGCUUUUCUGCUCAUCCCUGUUGGCCCUGGGAACAAGCAGAGGCCCAGGACAGAUGAAUCUCUGGUGUUGCAUACACUAGCCUUUCUCAAGAGGCUCUUUUCCAAGACAUCAUGUGAAACCCUGCUGUUUCUGGAUCAGAUAAAUCAACGAUAAUCUUUAACUCAGCGAGGGGCGAGUCAUGGGGGGUGUUCUCCUGCAUCCACGGUAUACUGCUAAAAUCAGAUUUCCUGGAGCCCAUUCACCAGAGGUUUUGAACUUGCCAGAUUGCUUGCUGGGCCUAAAAUACUGCGUGCCAUGUGGUGACCCUGGCUUGGCUGUUUCCAUGAGUUCUCUUUCCCUAAGUCACAACUGACACUUCCAAGUCACACAGAGGAAAAGAGCUCCAGACCCCACAUUUCCAUUAAUGGCCAUCGGCCAGGUCUGGCGUGUGCACUGUGCACUACUCUCUUCUGUGGUUGAGUCUGCCUUGGGGGGGGAGCAGAGAGAACUGAAGAAGACUGGGGGUGGGGAUGCACGUGCCUUCUGCAGUCCGAUUCCUAUUUCCCCUCCCCAUUUCUUCCUCCGCAGCAACUUUUGGCAUAAGGAUUUUUUUCUCCAAACUUACGGUAACUCGUUCAUCUGGUUAUGCUUUCCUUUAUUCAUCUGCUUAUGUAAGCUACACCAAUGGAGCCUUUGUUGUGAGGUAAAUGUGCGGGAGCCGUGAGAUUUAAACUCGGCAUAUAAAAUAAUGGAUUUC